This is an RNA transcript of Amaranthus tricolor (Joseph's coat), 1312 nucleotides long. It is a transcript of the gene named formyltetrahydrofolate deformylase 2, mitochondrial-like, with no coding region annotated. The record is from RefSeq and is a predicted model, not a curated record. The transcript is spliced from 9 exons. Lineage: Eukaryota; Viridiplantae; Streptophyta; Magnoliopsida; Caryophyllales; Amaranthaceae.
AAACCUCGCAUCAUUUUUGUCGUUUUAUCUCAAAAAAAUUGGUCAGUGGUUAGCCACCGUUUUUCUUAAGAUCAGUGAAAAGCCAAACACAAUAAAAAUCGGGAAAAUUGAGCGAGUGAAAAUAAAGCAAACAUAAUUCAAUUGCAUAUGAAUUUCUUCAGAAAGAUCCGUUCUCAUCCUCAUUUUCCCAAAAUAGCCAAAAGAUCCUUUAGUUCAUUGAAAAUUUCUGAACAGUCCCUAAAUCCUCCUCUCACUCAUGGGAUCCAUGUCUUCCAUUGCCCUGAUGCAGUUGGUAUUGUAGCAAAGUUAUCAGAAUGUAUUGCUUUAAGAGGUGGAAACAUUCUUGGAGCUGAUAUUUUUGUACCUGAAAACAAGCAUGUCUUUUAUUCAAGAAGCGAGUUUGUUUUUGAUCCUUCUAAAUGGCCAAGGGAGCAAAUGGAUGAGGACUUCUUCAAAAUUUCAGAAAUGUUCAACGCGCUGAAAUCAGUUGUCCGUGUGCCUGAUUUAGAUCCAAAAUACAAAAUUGCUGUUUUUGCUUCAAAACAGGACCAUUGUCUUGUUGACUUGCUACAUGCGUGGCAGGAUGGGAGACUGCCUGUAGAUAUAACAAGAGUGAUAAGCAAUCAUCAUAGACACCCAGACUCUCACGUGAUGCGUUUUCUUGAGCGGCAGCGAAUUCCAUAUCAUUUCCUAAAAUUAACUGAAGGAAAAAACAUUGAGGAAGAGAUUUUGGAUCUAGUCAAGGACACGGAUUUCCUAGUACUGGCUAGGUAUAUGCAGAUAUUUUCUGGAGAUUUUUUGAAAAGGUAUCGAAAGGACAUCAUUAACAUUCACCAUGGCCUUUUGCCGUCAUUUAAGGGCGGGAAUCCUUCAAGACAGGCGUUUGAUUGUGGAGUAAAAUUAAUUGGUGCCACUAGUCAUUUUGUGACAGAAGAACUUGAUGCAGGACCCAUCAUUGAACAAAUGGGCAUCUCUUAUUCCAAACCUCGUCCACCCCUGCAAGUCUCAGAAAAAAGAAGCAAUACUCAUCUGUCCCUUUGAAUUUGCUCCAUUACAUAACUCGACGUUAGAGCCUUUUGGAUGUUGUGUAGCAAAUUUAAAGGGACGGAUGGAGUAUUUCAAGUAAAGCACAAGCGACCCUCGUUUGAACAUAUAUUAACCAGGCAUUGGAGUUGAGCGAGUGUCGCAUAGAGAUAACUUGCGAAGUUUCGUACAGAAAUCAGAGAACCUUGAGAAGCAAUGUCUGUCGAAGGCAAUAAAGUAUUACUGUGAGCUACGUGUUCUACCUUAUCUCGAUAACAAGACCGUCGUG